CUCCCCCACUCCCCGUGGCGCGAGCGGCUGAUACCGGAGGGGAAACGGCAUUCGGCGCCGCACUCCCGCCCAGGCUGGUCCUGACGCGGGCCUCUUCAGCCGGUAACGGGGAGCAAAGGUGGGGAUCAGGGAGGCGACCACGAAAACGGUGAAGGUCAGAGCCCAGAGGCCUUUUCCGAGAACGGCAGGAGCUGGGAGGAGGCGCCGGCAGCAGGAGCAGCAGCGGCGGCAGCAGCUGGGAGGAGGUGGUGACGGUGGCAACGGCAGCGUCGGGGACGAUGGCGCGACUGGUGGCCGUGUGCAGGGACGGGGAAGAGGAGUUCCCCUUCGAGAGGAGGCAGAUUCCCCUCUACAUAGACGACACCCUCACGAUGGUGAUGGAAUUUCCUGACAAUGUGUUAAAUCUUGAUGGCCAUCAAAAUAAUGGUGCACAACUAAAGCAGUUUAUUCAGCGACAUAGUAUGCUUAAACAACAAGAUCUAAGUAUUGCCAUGGUGGUGACGUCACGUGAAGUGUUGAGUGCACUCUCUCAGCUUGUCCCGUGUGUUGGUUGUCGUCGCAGUGUGGAGCGCCUCUUUUCCCAGCUUGUAGAGUCUGGAAAUCCUGCCCUUGAACCCCUGACAAUAGGGCCCAAGGGAGUUUUAUCUGUAACUCGAAGUUGUAUGACUGAUGCAAAGAAACUUUAUACAUUAUUUUAUGUACAUGGGUCCAAACUAAAUGACAUGAUAGAUGCUAUUCCAAAAAGUAAAAAGAACAAGAGAUGUCAGUUGCACUCCUUAGAUACGCACAAACCAAAACCUUUGGGUGAAGGGAGCAGUAGCAGUGUCAGUUCAGAGAAGUUAAGUACAGAUAAGAGAAGUAGUGAAGACCACAGGAAGGACAGCAAGUGUAGGAUCAUUUUGCAUUAUGGACCUUUCCAGGGAACAGCCAGAGGUUGUUGGAUGGACGUAUGGGAACUAAUGUCCCAAGAAUGCAGAGAUGAAGUAGUUUUAAUUGACUCUAGUUGUCUUUUAGAAACACUAGAAACAUAUCUGCGAAAACACAGGUUUUGCACUGAUUGCAAAAAUAAAGUCCUCCGAGCAUACAAUAUCCUUAUUGGUGAACUUGAUUGCAGCAAAGAGAAGGGCUAUUGUGCUGCACUUUAUGAAGGUUUGCGGUGCUGUCCACAUGAACGACACAUACAUGUUUGCUGUGAAACGGACUUCAUUGCACAUCUUUUGGGUCGUGCUGAGCCAGAGUUCGCAGGAGGGUAUGAGCGAAGAGAAAGGCAUGCUAAGACAAUAGAUAUAGCUCAAGAAGAAGUUCUGACCUGCUUGGGAAUUCAUCUUUAUGAAAGACUGCAUCGGAUAUGGCAAAAACUACGAGCAGAAGAGCAGACGUGGCAGAUGCUUUUUUAUCUUGGUGUUGAUGCUUUACGUAAGAGUUUUGAGAUGACCGUGGAAAAAGUACAAGGGAUUAGCCGAUUGGAACAACUUUGUGAAGAAUUUUCAGAGGAGGAACGAGUAAGAGAACUCAAGCAAGAAAAGAAACGCCAAAAACGGAAAAAUAGACGAAAAAAUAAAUGUGUAUGUGACAUUCCUACUCCCCUCCAAACAGCAGAGGAAAAGGAAGUAAGCCAAGAGAAGGAAACAGACUUCAUAGAAAACAGCUGUAAAGCCUGUGGCAGCACUGAAGAUGGUAAUAGUUGUGUAGAAGUAAUUGUUACCAAUGAAAAUACAUCAUGUACCUGUCCUAGCAGUGGCAAUCUUUUGGGGUCCCCUAAAAUAAAGAAAGGCUUAUCUCCACACUGUAAUGGUAGUGAUUGUGGAUAUUCAUCUAGCAUGGAAGGGAGUGAAACAGGUUCCCGGGAGGGUUCAGAUGUUGCCUGCACUGAAGGCAUUUGUAAUCAUGACGAACACGGUGAUGACUCCUGUGUUCAUCACUGUGAAGACAAAGAGGAUGAUGGUGAUAGUUGUGUUGAAUGUUGGGCAAAUUCCGAAGAGAACAACACCAAAGGAAAAAAUAAAAAGAAGAAAAAGAAAAGCAAGAUGUUGAAAUGUGAUGAACAUAUCCAAAAGCUUGGAAGCUGUAUUACAGAUCCAGGAAAUCGAGAGACCUCAGGAAAUACCGUGCACACAGUGUUCCACCGUGACAAGACCAAAGAUGCACAUCCUGAAAGCUGUUGUAGCUCUGAAAAGGGUGGGCAGCCACUGCCUUGGUUUGAGCAUAGAAAAAAUGUACCACAGUUUGCAGAACCUACAGAAAUGUCAUUUGGUCCUGAUUCCGGAAAAGGUGCCAAGAGCUUAGUUGAACUCCUUGUAAGUAAACCAUGAUGUCUUAUUGUGGAUAACUGAUUGCCCAUGGCUAGAUGUGGGAGUGGACAGAAUUUUUGAGGGGUUAAAGUUGGAAGUGGGGGAAAUUAAGAGCAUUAUUUCAUUAUUGUUUUGGUGACUUCAUUUUUGUUCUUCCACUCAUGGUUUAUGCAGCUACUCAGAAGUACAUUUCCCUGCUCUCCUUUCUCUCAAAGGUAGAAGAAACUAGUUGGGAGAUGAGGGUAGAGUUAGCAUCAUGUCUAGGAAUCUGCCUCCUUCAAGAGGAGGGUUAUUGUAAGGAAAUUACCUUUCUGAGUGUCAAUUUAUAUAGUAGCCACCCUUCCAGACCAGAAUCUGAACAAAAGCCCAUAUUUUUAGGUUACUCCCUUUAGGUCAUGCAUGAUAAAAGCAUAACUGAACAUGGAAAACCUUUUAUAAUUGAUUCUAGUUCUUGAUACUUGAAAUGAGGUAUAUAUACAUGAUUCCAAGUGAUCUAGUGCAUAGCUUGUGUGGGGCUUAGAGGAGGGGGAAGGAAGGAGAAGGGUGGUGUCUUUUCUAUAGGAUCUUAAUGGAACCAAAUGCUCUAUAGAAUACUAGUUUUUUCUUUUUCAUAAGGUUAUAAAGUUAGAUGCUGUUGCUGUGUAACAAAGUUAAUAAAGGUUAUAUUUUACUUAAUUUGUAGAGAUAAAGGUUUCAGCUUAGAAUCAACUAGAGAUAAGUCUGGUUAUUUAAAAUUUGGUAACUUAGCUGUAACCAUCUCUAAUUAGUCAUUUUUUUUAAGGCAGAAAGAAGAUAUGUUGGUAUCAGCUAGGCUCAUUAUAGGCUUCUAGGAAAAAUGUUAGAUCCAGAGUUUCAAACCAAAUCAAACUGAGUUGAAUUUUAUUCUCAUUUAGUACUUUCUAAGACAGAAUAACAUUAUGCUUAUUCUGUAAACAUUCCAAUUAAAGGUUUUAUUUUACUGAAUUGAAACUAAAACGCUAGACUGCUUUUUAAUAUUUAGCUGUCCUCCAUCAGCAUAAC
This is an RNA transcript of Myotis daubentonii (Daubenton's bat), 3311 nucleotides long. It is a transcript of the gene named gametogenetin binding protein 2, with no coding region annotated. NCBI's taxonomy places the organism in Eukaryota, Metazoa, Chordata, Mammalia, Chiroptera, Vespertilionidae. The record is from RefSeq and is a predicted model, not a curated record.